RNAcentral lists this transfer RNA (61 nucleotides) under Iolania perkinsi. Its description in RNAcentral is "tRNA-Gly". Lineage: Eukaryota; Metazoa; Arthropoda; Insecta; Hemiptera; Cixiidae. The record is from RNAcentral.
AUUUUCUUAGUAUAAUAAGUAUAAUUGACUUCCAAUCAAAAGGUUAAAAAUUAAGAAAGUA